RNAcentral lists this ribosomal RNA (348 nucleotides) under Sospita vigintiguttata. RNAcentral describes it as "partial 12S ribosomal RNA". The record is from RNAcentral. Lineage: Eukaryota; Metazoa; Arthropoda; Insecta; Coleoptera; Coccinellidae.
UUAAAUGUAAAUUAAUAAACUAAGUGAUUAAUAGUUAAGUUCUUUAAAGCUAAAUGAUUUGGCGGUAUUUUAAUCUUUUCAGAGGAACCUGUUCAUUAAUCGAUAAUCCACGAUUUAAUUAACUUAAAUUAGAAAUUUUUAUAUCGUCGUUUUUAAAUAUUUUAUUAGAAUUUAAUAUUUAAUUUUUCUUUAUUAAGAAAUAAAUCAGAUCAAGGUGAAGUUUAUAUUUAAGAUGAAAUGGGUUACAUUAAAUUAUAUUUAUGGAUUUUAAAUUUUAAAAAUUUUAUGAAAUUGGAUUUGAAAGUAAUUAGUUAAAAUUUUUUCUGAUGAUUAAGCGCUAAAAUAUGC